GAGUUUGAUCAUGGCUCAGAUUGAACGCUGGCGGCAUGCCUUACACAUGCAAGUCGAACGGCAGCACGGGAGCUUGCUCCUGGUGGCGAGUGGCGAACGGGUGAGUAAUGCAUCGGAACGUAUCCUGGAGUGGGGGAUAACGUAGCGAAAGUUACGCUAAUACCGCAUAUUCUGUGAGCAGGAAAGCGGGGGACCUUCGGGCCUCGCGCUCUUGGAGCGGCCGAUGUCGGAUUAGCUAGUUGGUGAGGUAAAGGCUCACCAAGGCGACGAUCCGUAGCAGGUCUGAGAGGAUGAUCUGCCACACUGGAACUGAGACACGGUCCAGACUCCUACGGGAGGCAGCAGU
This 346-nucleotide ribosomal RNA is filed under the name bacterium enrichment culture clone ALO1_GLFRUDD03GX47A. RNAcentral's name for it is "bacterial SSU rRNA". It matches the Rfam family "Bacterial small subunit ribosomal RNA", at positions 9 to 355 of the family's 1533-position model. The record is from RNAcentral.